Molecule: long non-coding RNA, 318 nt
Filed under: Mytilus galloprovincialis (Mediterranean mussel)
Lineage: Eukaryota; Metazoa; Mollusca; Bivalvia; Mytilida; Mytilidae
Source: RNAcentral
UUUUUUUGCAUAAAAUUUUCUUUCUCCAAAUUUAAGAAUUAUUUGGAUAUCACUCUGAUAAAUGGAACCAGUCAUGGAGAUUUAUUUAUUAGAGAAAGCAUCAAAAUACAUCUUUGUAGUAUGUUAGCUAUAUUUUCACAGGAAAUGUGGAGUAAGGAAAAUUUGCAUGCCGUAACCAUGGUAACCAAAACAUUUCAAUGAAUCAAAGUUAUGUUUUUCAACAUAUAUUAGGAGGUCCUUCAAAUUUAUGUUGAAAUUUAAAAAAUAUGCAACCAUGCAUUUCCAGCUAAUUUUGGUCAUUACAGAUAAUUGCUUUUU